UCUCACCGUUUGAUUAUAUAUACAUCAAUACAUGUGCCUAAAGAACAUGUUUUACGAACAAUAUGGACUCAUCAAGACAUUCCGUUGUCAUAGUAGCAUUCUUAUUAGCUUUUUCCAUCAUGGCUUCAGAUAUCUGCAUUAAGUCAGAAGCAAGGGGACCCAUAUAUAAAUCACAUUGUGACAAGGACUUCGAGUGUCGAGUUGGAUGUCAUAAUAUAAUGUGUGGUUGUAGAGCCGUAUGUAUUGAUCAUGUGUGUCAAUGUCCGCAUCCAAGUUCCACCAAUAAUAAUAUUCUUGGUGUAGCACCUCCAAACUGAGUGCCAGAAAAUAGGAUCUUGGGAUGCAACUAUAAGGUUCUUAAUGUAUAUUUAGUUCUAGUUCCUAAUAAUGGAUUAUUGCAUCUCUUUGUGUAUCCAAACAUUACAUCAUGAAUGUCUUAAUAAAACUUAAGCUUUACUUUGUUCUUA
This is a long non-coding RNA of Glycine soja, 467 nucleotides long. RefSeq lists it as uncharacterized. The transcript has 2 exons. NCBI's taxonomy places the organism in Eukaryota, Viridiplantae, Streptophyta, Magnoliopsida, Fabales, Fabaceae. The record is from RefSeq and is a predicted model, not a curated record.